AACCUAUUAGCUCAAAUGGCAGAGCAAUGUGCCAUUGCACAUGGUGUAGGUUCAAAUCCUACAUAGGUUG
This 70-nucleotide transfer RNA is filed under the name Spinacia oleracea (spinach). It matches the Rfam family "tRNA". From Rfam's summary of the family: Transfer RNA (tRNA) molecules are approximately 80 nucleotides in length. Their secondary structure includes four short double-helical elements and three loops (D, anti-codon, and T loops). The record is from Rfam by way of RNAcentral. Lineage: Eukaryota; Viridiplantae; Streptophyta; Magnoliopsida; Caryophyllales; Amaranthaceae.